Molecule: ribosomal RNA, 754 nt
Filed under: Lepidoptera sp. NZAC 03012467
Lineage: Eukaryota; Metazoa; Arthropoda; Insecta; Lepidoptera
Description: eukaryotic LSU rRNA
Rfam family: Eukaryotic large subunit ribosomal RNA
Source: RNAcentral
UACGUGAAACCGUCCAGGGGUAAACCUGCAAGACUCGAAUUAACGAACAGAGAGAUUCAGCGUCAUUCCGCGACGUGUGGACGCGUAGCUCGAUGUCACCAGCAUCGGUCGGGCGACACGGGUCGCGUGCGCUACGUUCGCGGACGACGUGCACUUCUCUCUUAGUAYCACAUUGUGACCCGUUCGAUGUUUGUCUAGGCGCUGUUUGGGAUUGCCCGCCCAGGCUCAGCGGGCGGCUUGACCGAUGACGCCGACUUACAUUGGACGGUACUGAGCGCGUACGGCGGGACAAUGCACAUAUAUGGUUUAUAUCUUGCACGAGUGCGGAUGUGGAYACAGUCAUGUGUAUAAGUCGAAGCCGUAAAGUCUUUGACUUAGCGAGACUCUGUCUACAAUGAUUCUGUUUCGGGCACUUGCAGGACCCGUCUUGAAACACGGACCAAGGAGUCUAGCAUGUGUGCGAGUCAUUGAGUUAAUUAAACUUAAAGGCGCAACGAAAGUGAAGGCGUACGUGCGUACGCUUAGGAAGGAUGGGGCGUCAAUCUAGAUUGAUCUCUCGCACUUCCGAGGCGUCUCGUUUCCAAUCCGUGAAUGCAAGACGCGCUCUGAGCAUACAUGCUGGGACCCGAAAGAUGGUGAACUAUGCCUGGCCAGGUUGAAGUCAGGGGAAACCUUGAUGGAGGACCGAAGCGAUUCUGACGUGCAAAUCGAUCGUCAAAGCUGGGUAUAGGGGCGAAAGACUAAUCGAACCAUC